This 430-nucleotide long non-coding RNA is filed under the name Gossypium raimondii (Peruvian cotton). RNAcentral's name for it is "long non-coding RNA (GRAI_LNC010335)". Lineage: Eukaryota; Viridiplantae; Streptophyta; Magnoliopsida; Malvales; Malvaceae. The record is from RNAcentral.
GAUGAUCCGAGACCCACCAUUCCCCUUGGCAACGGCGAUCCCUCUCAAUUUGCAUGCUUUAGGACUUCCACAACAGCGGAAGAGGCCAUAGUUGAUGCCGUCCAUUCAGCCAAGUACAAUGGUUAUGCACCUACUGUUGGAGUUCUCUCUGCCAGAAGGUAAUAUUUAUUGACACUUAACUCCGGUUUCUAUAUAUUUACAUUUUCCAUAUUCAUUCAAAAAAAAAAAAAUCCUGUUCUUGCUAAGAAAAUAUCAAGAAUGGUCUGUUUUAUAUGUAUUUAAAAAAUAAUAAUAAUACUUCCAAGAUUCUAACAGGGCUAUUGCAAAUUAUCUUAAUCGUGACCUUCCAUAUAAGUUAUCUGCGGAUGAUAUUUAUGUUACAAGUGGAUGCUUACAAGCAAUUGAAGUUGCAUUAGCAGCCAUUAACCGC